GGCAGGCGCAGCCUGGGCUGAGUUUGCAGGGCUGCUCCCCUCACCCAACCCCUUGGAGUCCUCUGCGCGCUACGCCCCACCCGACCCGUGGGGGAGGUUCCGUCCCGCCGCCUUCGCCCGCGCGCUGCACUCGCGGACGGUCUCUGCUCGCCUUGGGCGCGCCCUGGGGCGCCGGGCUGCGCUGGCGCUGCUGCUCCUCGGCCUGCUCCGUCCUCUGGUGGCCGCCCCGGGGCUGACUUUGACUUAGCGAUGCCUUUCGUGAUGGAGGAAACAGUGACCCAGCACCACCUAAUCCUCCCAAACCAAAGCCAGAUCCAAACCCCAACCGACCUGGUUUCACUGGGGCUGACUUUGACUUAGCAGAUGCCUUUGGUGAUGGAGGAAACAGUGACCCAGCACCACCUAAUCCCCCCAAACCAAAGCCAGAUCCAAAUCCCAACUGACCUGGUUUCACUGAUAAGAGCCUCUAACCCUACGGAGUGGUCUCUGUGUUGUUUACCUGGCAGUGAUGUCCGUGUCAUCUGAGAAGAGGAGAUUUCAGGUGACCCAGCACCUCCUAAUUCACCCAAGCCGAAGCCAAAUGCGAACCCUGAGCAGCCUGGAUUCAUUGGGGAUGACUUUGACUUAGCAGAUGCCUUACAUGACAGAAGAAAUUAUGAGCCAGCACCACUGAACCCACCCAAACCAAAGCCAAAUCCAAACCCCAAGCAGCCUGAUUCCACCGGGGCUGACUUUGAUUUCACAGAUGUUUCUUCGUGGUGAAUGAAACAAUGCUAAGCAACAUGAGAGUGAGUGUCUGGCCAUGGUUUGCUCAUCUGUGCAUCUCCAGGACUGGCUGGGUUCCUGGGUGUGAAGAAGCAGAGGUCCACACACAUGGGUGAAUCUGUGCUGCUUCUCACCACCACACUGCUUGGCUUCCUUAUUUCCUUCCUGUCACCUGGAAUGCCUACCCUGUACUUCUCUCCAGCGCCAACACCAUCAUUUACCACCUCGUUCAGCUCCCAGGCAUCCUAGAAGCCUUUCCUGACCACAGGGAUGCAUCGUGGUGCACAAUUCCUGCAGCUGCCACUAUGGUGCAAGAUGAGUCUAGAAGAACAGUUUUGCUGUGCAGUCACCCUUACUCGCUAUUGUGAUUUUGCCUUUAACAUAUUGAAAAAGACACAGAAAACACACACCAUCCGAUCAUUUAGUUGCAGGCACAUCGUGCGAUGCUAAGAAUUUGCUGUGUUUUAAAUUGGUGUCUGUUGACUCUUCAGCUUCUGCUCCAGGCUUCUUAUGUCCCCACUCAGCCCUGAAUCCCAUUCCCCCUAAUCUCGGUAACUUUGGUGGCUUUUGCACCAGCCAAAAUCAGAUCCUAGGUCUUGAGCAAAACCAAGAGCAAGGAAAAAAAUCCCCCAUGGGAAUCUGAGACCUCACUCUAAUGACUUCAGUUGCUGUUGACUUGAUUUCCUUCAACUGCUGAAGGAGGUUAGAUCAGUUUCCUCUUGCUUCUAGGAUAAAGCAUCGCAGACUUUGCAGCUUAAAACAGUGCACAUUUCUUUGCUUACAGUUCUGGAGGUAAGAAGUCUGAAAUUAGUUUCCUGGGGCUCCCAUCAAGGUGUCAGCAGGGCUGGCUUCCUUCUGGAGGCUCUAGGAGAGAAAGGGUUUGCUUGAUAUUUCCAGCUUCUAGAGGCUGCGUACAUGCCUUGUUAUGUGGCUGCUCCCUCCAUCUUCAAAGCCAGCAGUGUAGCAUCUUCCAAUCUCUCUCUAACACGGACCCUCUUGCUUCCCUCUUUCAAUGAUAAGGACCCAUGUGAUGACAUUGGUCCUACUUGGGUAAUCCAGUAAUGUCUUCUCAUCUCAAGCUCAGCUGAUCAGCAACCUUCAUUCCAUCUGCAACCUUCAUUUCCCUUGCACAGGUUCUGGGAAUCAGGACAUGGAUAUCUUUGGGGCCUGCUAUUGCUUCUACCUACAACUGGUGUUACAAGACUUGGCCCACUUAAUCUUGCAAAUCCUUUCUGCCCCUCUUAAUGAGAUCUGUUCUCUAUGAAUGUUCAGGACCUCAGGAGUAGGGACCCCAAAGGCUGGGAGCAAAGUAGAUGUGACAGGUACCAAGCAUAGGAUGUGUGACCAGAUUCGGUCAUGUGAUUACAUUGUGAGGUGACCCAGGCAUUUUCAUUAGGAAGGAAAAUGGUUGUAGGAGGAGGAAAUUGAACACAACCCACACAUGGGUGGUUGGAAAAUCUGAGAGCUCUCGUGGGCAUGCUCACCCAUUUCACUCACCAUGGUACAGGGGAAAUUCUUAGACCUGUCAGUGCAACUAUUUGAAAUAAACAUCCAAGAAAGUCGGCAAACUUCAGGUAGGAUGAAGUCAGAGAUCCACCCUGAAGCACAGUGAAAGCCACAAGACAGAAGUGACUGAUCCCAUCCCAGGGAUCCUAAAGAAGAUUAUCAUCAGACUUCCCAUUGGAAACUUUGGAAGCCGGACACCAGUAGUAGUCUGAUAAAUUCAAAAUGCUAAAAAACAAAACCAAUGAAAACAUGCUAACCAAGAAAAAAAAAUGCUACAUGGCUGAAGAAAUCAUGCAGAAAUUUUAGCAACAUUUUAAAUGAUCCAACAAGGUCUGUUGUUUCUGCGCAGAUAUGGGCAAACAUGAGCUUGUAUAGCUUAUUUUUAUGGGUGCAAGGAGCAUGCAGUUAUCUCCACUAGCAUGUUUUUUGUUUGUUUGCUUUGAGAUGGAUUCUCACUCUGUCGCCCAGGCUGGAGUGCAGUGGCACAAUCUUGGCUCACUGCAACCUCCGUCUCCCAGGUUCAAGCAGUUCCCUGCCUCAGCCUCCCGAGUAGCUGGGAUUACAGGUGCCCACCACCACGCCUGGCUAAUUUUUGUAUUUUUAGUAGAGAUGGGGUUUCAGCAUCUUGGCCAAGGCUGGUCUUGAACUCCUGACCUCGUGAUCCACCCACGUCAGCCUCCCAAAGUGCUGGGAUUACAGGUGUGAGCCACCGCGCCCAGCCUGUUUUUCUUUUUAACUCAUGCAUAGGUUCAGAAUUUAGUUCCAGGUACGUGAGAGCUCCUUGUAGAUGUUUUUCAUGGCGAGUCAGCUGGCUUACCAGACCUUGUCUGACUUCUUCCUUUAUCUUCCCAACAGUUCAGCACCUUGGUGCGGUACAGGGUCCCAUUAGCAGGUCUCAUUUCCCACCACUGACUGAACAUCAGCAGGCUCAAUCCACAAGUCAGGGGCUGGGGAUGUCUUGUCAAGAAUUCCCUCUUUAGGGGCAGGAAUGAAAUUUAUAACAACAUCCAUGCUGCUUGAUGGAGCCCUCUCUACAUGGCAGGUGCUUUGCAAGCACUUUCAGAAAAUCUGCACCAAACUGUAUAGUAAGAAUGAUCACUGUCAUUCUACAAGUCAGAAACUUGAAAAUCAGAUUGGUGACGUAUUCAGCUAAUGCACUGCAAAUAAACAGCAGAAGUGAAAUUCAGAUAUCAAGACAUUUGUCCUCAAAGUCUAUGCUUGCAACUAGAUUAUGGCCCUGAUAUCCUAGGGAUGAAUCAGUUUCAGUUUCCCUUCCUGGACCCCCAGCAAGUAGUACAUGGGAAUUAUUCUAGUGCGGUAUAGCGGGGAGCAGUGUAAACAGAUAAACAAGGUUUUCCGGGGCCCUGGUUUAGGCAAAUAAAUCUUACAACAUUAUCUGGCUCUUUCAAGUAGAUUUCAGACUUGGCCUUGUUUUCUAGACUGUUUUGCCCAAUGGAAAAUAGUGUUUGUAUCUUUAGAAGAUGUAUUAUGUGAUUUUCCCCUCUCAAUAUUUUGCAGGGCAGAGAUACUGCUUUGAUCUAUUUUCACAUAAUAAUUAUUAUUUGAGGUCUCAAUUAAGACCAGCAUCUUCAUCUGUGUGGGGCUCUGAGUUAAGGGCUUUCCAUAGACUCACUCUUGCCAUUUCUUCUAACUCCCUUGAGCAGAGGCCAGCAGUAGAGAAACUUGAUAAAUAACACAAGUGCUACAAUCCCUGAGUCCUCUAAGAAAUGAGACACAAAGGAAAGAUCCAGGGACAUUUUCACAGAUGUGCCCAAUUCCAGUGGCCCCAGGUUUCCCACCCUGCUGUUGAUAUUCUGCCACCCAUAGUCAUGAUCAUCUGGCUACAAAACAGCAGGCAGGGCUGUGCAUGAGUGAUGUUACAGGUGGGCUCAUGGCUACAUGGAUGUCUAGACAUGUCUAGGUGUCCAUAUGCAGGAACUGAGGGAAAGUGAGAAGGAGGGAGGGAUGGGUGGACAGAUGGAUAGAUAAAUGGAUGGAAAGGUGGACAAAUGGAUAGAUGCAUGAAUGGAUGGUGAAUUGGUAGGUAAAAUGGAGGGAUGGAUGGAUGGAUGUUUGGAUGGAUAUUUGGAUGGAUGGAUAGAUGGAUGGAUGGAUGGAUGGAUGGAUAGGUGGAUGGAUGGAUGGAUGGAUGAGUGAAUGGCUGAGUGGAUAGGUAGACAGGUGGAUGGAUGGAGAGAUGGAUAAGUGUUUGAUGGAUGAAUAGACACAUACAUGGAUGGAAAGGUGUUUGGGUGGAUGUGUAGGUGGAAAGGUGGAUAGAUAGAUUGAUGGGUGGAUGGAUGGGUAGAUGGACGGAUGGAUCAGUGAAUAGAUGUGUCAAUGAAUAGGGGGAUGUAUCAUUGGAGGGAUGGGUGAGUGGUUUGGUGGAUGAGUAGAUGAAUGGGUGGGUGGGUGGAUGGAUGGAUGGAUGGAUGGAUGGUUGGAUGGAUGGUUAGGUGGAUGAGUGGAUGAGUAGAUGGGUGGAUGGGUGGGUGGAUGGAUGGAUAGAUGGAUGGAUAGAUGGAUAGGUAGAUAAGUAGAUGAUUGAAUGGAUGGAUGGAUGCAUGAAUAAACAGGUUCGUGGAUGAGUGGAUAGAUGGAUGGGUGGAUGUGGGUGGCUGGCUAGAUAUGUAGAUAGAUGCAAAGGUGAAUGCAAAGAGAAGGAUAGAUUUAUGAGGAUGAAAGUGAGAAUUUUUCUCCUUAGGUCAUCAAGGGAAAAUUAAAUCCUUACCCACGGAGACAUCUUUCAUUUGAGUCAGGCGGAGGCUCUCUUUUUCUCUCUCCUGGUGACCAGGACAAAGAGAAAUGCAGGUGUAGAGAGCUCUGAUCAGGGAGCCCUGCCUGCCUCCUGUCCUGGGUGACCUUUACCAAAUCCUCUCCUGUGUUGGGUCUCCCUAACCUUGAUUUUCAAACGGUGGCUUCAGGGCUUUGCCUUUUCUGUGUCUGUGGUUCUCUGUCAUCCAUCAAGUCUCCCAGGGAGUCCCUUCCUGCCUCCCCUCUGUCCCUUUGGUCCCCACUCCAGACCCCAGAUUGGGUUCAGGGUUCCUCUGUAGAAGUCACUGAUGGGAGUCCACACCCUGAAAAUGCCUUUAGUCUUCAUUCCAGCCUCUCCUCUCUGCCAAGUGAGCUGCCCUUGCCGGCAGCAGUCACUUCCUCAUACGGGGAUGUUUGUUCCAGCACACUGAGUAGGCGCUGUCUCCUGAGUGGGAAUUGGCUUGGCACAGGCAACCGUAUGACAUUGUUUCAAAAAGUCAUUCAAAUUAUUUGUCUUGUACAUCCUGUCUGGAAGCACGUAUAUACAUUCCCGCCUCCCCACUGGGCACGCUCUUACCCUUGCCCUGCCAUUCUGGUGCUAGGAGCUGUCUGUGCUGUCCACUGGGUGGACAGAGUUGUCUUCCCCAUGAAAAGAGGAAUCAGGGUUUUCAUGUGUCUCUUAGAAGCCAGGCAUUUGGCACCGGGGCUCAUGAACAGCUGAUUUUUGAAGUGGUCCCAGGGGAAGCUGAGUUGGUGACUGAUAAGAGGAAGGUCUGGGCUGGGUGCGGGGGCUCACGCCUGUAAUCCCAGCACUUUUGGAGGCCGAGGCAGGCAGAUCAGUCAGGAGAUUGAGACCAUCCUGGUCAACAUGGUGAAACCCCGUCUCUACUAAAAAUACAAAAAUUAGCUGGCCAUGGUGGUGCACGCCUGUAAUCCCAGGUACUCAGGAGGCUGAGGCAGGAGAUUCGCUUGAACCCGGGAGGUGGAGGUUGCAGUGAGCCGAGAUCAUGCCACUGCACUCCAGCCUGGGUGACAGAGCGAGACUACAUCUCAAACAAAAAAAAAAAAAAAAAAGAAGAAGAAAGGAAGAAGAAGAAGAAGAACAUCUGAAGAAUUGGGAUACUGAGGCAUCAUCUUCCUUGCUCAGUGGAUUUGCGGUUUCAUACCCUGGAUUUCCUGAAGCUUUGGGGUUUCUUUUUCUCAUUUUUUUUUCUUUGAGAUGGAGUCUUUUUUCUUUAUAAAUUAUCCAGUCUUAGUUAUUUCUUUAUAGCAAUGUGAGAACAAACUAAUGGUGCUGGUCUCCUCAAGGAAACUCCUGCCAUACCCCCUCCCUCAUCUUCUUUCUCUCUCUCUUUUUGUUUUGAGGUGGAGUCUAACUCUCUCGCCCAGGCUGGAGUGCAGUGGUGCGAUCUUGGCUCACUGCCACCUCUGCCUCCCGGGUUCAUGCCAUUCUACUGCC
Pongo pygmaeus (Bornean orangutan) is the source of this 6484-nucleotide long non-coding RNA. RefSeq lists it as uncharacterized. The transcript is spliced from 10 exons. The record is from RefSeq and is a predicted model, not a curated record. Lineage: Eukaryota; Metazoa; Chordata; Mammalia; Primates; Hominidae.